This 201-nucleotide long non-coding RNA is filed under the name Elaeis guineensis (African oil palm). Its description in RNAcentral is "long non-coding RNA (EGUI_LNC074757)". The record is from RNAcentral. Lineage: Eukaryota; Viridiplantae; Streptophyta; Magnoliopsida; Arecales; Arecaceae.
GGGCGCACCCCGAUGACCCGAACAUUGGGUAGGGUCAAAUGUCGUCUGAUAUGAUCAGUCGGAUGGCGUCUGACGCAUUUAGUCAGGGAAACGAUGACAAGUCGAGUUCCCAUUACCCAGACCUAAGUCGGGUGCUUACGUCAUGCCGUGUGAUAAACGGUGGUAAGUCGAAUAUCCUUCGACUGGUCGUGACCUGGUCGG